Molecule: ribosomal RNA, 253 nt
Filed under: uncultured bacterium
Lineage: Bacteria
Description: partial 16S ribosomal RNA
Rfam family: Bacterial small subunit ribosomal RNA
Source: RNAcentral
UACGAAGGGUGCUAGCGUUGUUCGGAAUUACUGGGCGUAAAGCGCGCGUAGGCGGCUUUUCAAGUCAGGGGUGAAAUCCCACGGCUCAACCGUGGAAUUGCCUUUGAAACUGUAAAGCUUGAGUGUCGGAGGGGAUAGCGGAAUUGCUAAUGUAGAGGUGAAAUUCGUAGAUAUUAGCAGGAACACCGGUGGCGAAGGCGGCUAUCUGGACGACAACUGACGCUGAGGCGCGAAAGCGUGGGGAUCAAACAGG